GACGAACGCUGGCGGCGUGCUUAACACAUGCAAGUCGAACGGAAAGGCCCUGCUUUUGUGGGGUGCUCGAGUGGCGAACGGGUGAGUAACACGUGAGUAACCUGCCCUUGACUUUGGGAUAACUUCAGGAAACUGGGGCUAAUACCGGAUAGGAGCUCCUGCUGCAUGGUGGGGGUUGGAAAGUUUCGGCGGUUGGGGAUGGACUCGCGGCUUAUCAGCUUGUUGGUGGGGUAGUGGCUUACCAAGGCUUUGACGGGUAGCCGGCCUGAGAGGGUGACCGGCCACAGUGGGACUGAGAUACGGCCCAGACUCCUACGGGAGGCAGCAGUGGGGAAUAGUGCACAAUGGGCGGAAGCCGGAUGCAGCAACGCCGCGUGCGGGAUGACGGCCUUCGGGUUGUAAACCGCUUUCGCCUGUGACGAAGCGUGAGUGACGGUAAUGGGUAAAGAAGCACCGGCUAACUACGUG
This 468-nucleotide ribosomal RNA is filed under the name uncultured bacterium. Its description in RNAcentral is "partial 16S ribosomal RNA". It matches the Rfam family "Bacterial small subunit ribosomal RNA", at positions 28 to 507 of the family's 1533-position model. The record is from RNAcentral.